AUUGAACGCCGGCGGCAUGCUUUACACAUGCAAGUCGAACGGUAACAGGUUAAGCUGACGAGUGGCGAACGGGUGAGUAAUGCAUCGGAACGUGCCCGGUCGUGGGGGAUGACACUUCGAAAGAAGUGCUAAUACCGCAUACGAUCUGAGGAUGAAAGCGGGGGACCGUAAGGCCUCGCGCGAUCGGAGCGGCCGAUGUCAGAUUAGGUAGUUGGUGGGGUAAAGGCUCACCAAGCCGACGAUCUGUAGCUGGUCUGAGAGGACGACCAGCCACACUGGGACUGAGACACGGCCCAGACUCCUACGGGAGGCAGCAGUGGGGAAUUUUGGACAAUGGGCGCAAGCCUGAUCCAGCCAUGCCGCGUGAGUGAAGAAGGCCUUCGGGUUGUAAAGCUCUUUCGGCCGGGAAAAAAUCGCAUGGGUUAAUACCCUGUGUGGAUGAUGGUACCGGAAUAAGAAGCACCGGCUAACUACGUGCCAGCAGCCGCGGUAA
RNAcentral lists this ribosomal RNA (493 nucleotides) under uncultured bacterium. RNAcentral's name for it is "partial 16S ribosomal RNA". It matches the Rfam family "Bacterial small subunit ribosomal RNA", at positions 30 to 523 of the family's 1533-position model. The record is from RNAcentral.